Molecule: ribosomal RNA, 253 nt
Filed under: uncultured Lachnospiraceae bacterium
Lineage: Bacteria; Bacillati; Bacillota; Clostridia; Lachnospirales; Lachnospiraceae
Description: partial 16S ribosomal RNA
Rfam family: Bacterial small subunit ribosomal RNA
Source: RNAcentral
UACGGAGGAUGCGAGCGUUAUCCGGAUUUACUGGGUGUAAAGGGAGCGUAGACGGUUUUUCAAGUCUGAAGUGAAAGCCCGCGGCUCAACUGCGGAACGGCUUUGGAAACUGAGGGACUAGAGUGCUGGAGGGGCAGGCGGAAUUCCUGGUGUAGCGGUGAAAUGCGUAGAUAUCAGGAGGAACACCAGUGGCGAAGGCGGCUUGCUGGGCCUGUACUGACAUUGAGGCACGAAAGCGUGGGGAGCAAACAGG